This 886-nucleotide unclassified non-coding RNA is filed under the name Bradyrhizobium sp. ORS 3642. Its description in RNAcentral is "partial 16S-23S ribosomal RNA intergenic spacer". The stretch from base 767 to 886 matches the Rfam family "Bacterial large subunit ribosomal RNA", at positions 1 to 119 of the family's 2925-position model. Lineage: Bacteria; Pseudomonadati; Pseudomonadota; Alphaproteobacteria; Hyphomicrobiales; Nitrobacteraceae. The record is from RNAcentral.
CCCUCCUUUCUAAGGAUGAUCCUUCAGCGAGCUCACGCUCACUAUCGGAUCGUUUUAGAAACAUCAGUGGCCAACAGAUCGCCAGAUCGUUGAGCUGCAUUGGCGGGAUUUCGCCGUCUUCGUUUCUCUUUCUUCGCGGACGAACACGCGCUGGGCCUGCAACGGCAGGAUCCAGGGUCCUUAACGGGAUGUGCGUUAGGGGCUUGUAGCUCAGUUGGUUAGAGCGCGCGCUUGAUAAGCGUGAGGUCGGAAGUUCAAGUCUUCCCAGGCCCACCACUUUCAUCGAGUGAGCAUUCGUCUUCUGGUUACGGGGCCAUAGCUCAGCUGGGAGAGCGCGUGCUUUGCAAGCAUGAGGUCGUCGGUUCGAUCCCGUCUGGCUCCACCAGAUGGUUUGAUCACCGAGAUCUUGACCGUCGUCCGCGAAACAUCACUUCGCAUCCUGCUAGUCUGGAUAGACAGCAGUUUGCGUGUUUUCUGACAUCGUAAAGAGGAGAUCGAUCCGAGUUGGGUCGUGCAGCAUAUCGUUGCGCGAGCCUUCAUUAUCUCCGGAUCAUUUCGGCGCUCGCUUCCAGCCGUGAGGUUGGAUGCGGGUUGUAAAUGAUCCUUUUAGCGAAGCUUGACCGCCUCGCUAUCGGAACGAUCUUACGAAGCAAGCUGGUCUUUCUAGUCAAUGUCCGGCUGCGGAUAGCGUUCAUCGAGGGCGCGUGCCGCAAGGCAAUUCUGCAGACAACAUUCUGCCGAGUGUGUGGACAUUGAUAAUGAGAGCAAUCAAGUGCCUUAAGGGUGUUCGGUGGAUGCCUUGGCGCUGAGAGGCGAUGAAGGACGUGCUACGCUGCGAUAAGCCGUGGGGAGCUGCGAAGAAGCUUUGAUCCGCGGAUUUCCGAUG